UUUGAAAGGGAAACGAUUGAAGUCAGUCGUACCUUCGGGUAAUCAGCCUUUUGGGUGUGAUUUUGUGGAGUGUGAGGAGUUAAACGCCUUCAUGCCUGCAUAUUCGUGCACUUUGGGUGUACUUGCUCGUGUGGUAAGUUAACAUCAAUUUUGGUGAUCAUAAAAUGGCUGGAGGAAUGUAGCUUCGAUCUCGUAUUGAAGUGUUAUAGCCUUCGGCAGAUGUGAUGAUCGGGAUUGAGGAUUGCAACGGAUACCCUUCGGGGCUACCUGUCUGAUCUCUGAUCGUUGC
RNAcentral lists this ribosomal RNA (289 nucleotides) under uncultured fungus. RNAcentral describes it as "partial 25S ribosomal RNA". Lineage: Eukaryota; Fungi. The record is from RNAcentral.